AUUGAACGCUGGCGGCAUGCUUUACACAUGCAAGUCGAACGGUAACAGGCCUUCGGGUGCUGACGAGUGGCGAACGGGGGAGUAAUGCAUCGGAACGUACCCAGAGGUGGGGGAUAACGCAGCGAAAGCUGUGCUAAUACCGCAUGUGAUCUGAGGAUGAAAGCGGGGGACCGAGCAGCAAUGUUUGGCCUCGCGCCUUUGGAGCGGCCGAUGUCGGAUUAGCUAGUUGGUGGGGUAAAGGCCUACCAAGGCGACGAUCCGUAGCUGGUCUGAGAGGACGACCAGCCACACUGGGACUGAGACACGGCCCAGACUCCUACGGGAGGCAGCAGUGGGGAAUUUUGGACAAUGGGCGCAAGCCUGAUCCAGCAAUGCCGCGUGGGGGAAGAAGGCCUUCGGGUUGUAAACCGCUUUUGGCAGGAACGAAACGGUGUCCGCUAAUACCGCGCGCUAAUGACGGUACCUGAAGAAUAAGCACCGGCUAACUACGUG
This 492-nucleotide ribosomal RNA is filed under the name uncultured bacterium. RNAcentral's name for it is "partial 16S ribosomal RNA". It matches the Rfam family "Bacterial small subunit ribosomal RNA", at positions 29 to 507 of the family's 1533-position model. The record is from RNAcentral.